AAAAGAUUUGCCGUCCGCAGGGUUCGAACCUGCGCCCUCCUGAGAGGACUGCGACCUGAACGCAGCGCCUUAGACCACUCGGCCAGAACGGCGGUG
This is a non-coding RNA of Caenorhabditis elegans, 96 nucleotides long. The record is from Ensembl. Lineage: Eukaryota; Metazoa; Nematoda; Chromadorea; Rhabditida; Rhabditidae.